AUGCCUAGCGCGGGGCUGGAGGCGGGGUCGAACAAGGUGGACGUGGCCAUCGACCUCGGGAACCCGCUCCUCAACCGCACCGUCGACGGCUUCCUCAAGAUCGGCGCCGUCGGCGCCUGCAGGGUGGUCGCCGAGGACGCCUUCGACUGCAUCCACAGGGGGGAUAUCUCGAAGCGCCAGCUUGAAGAGACGCUGAAGAAAAUGUGCAAGGAGGGUGCAUAUUGGGGUGCUGUUGCUGGAGUGUAUGUAGGCAUGGAGUAUGGAGUGGAAAGGGUCCGCGGAGAGUAUGACUGGAAAAAUGCGUUGAUUGGAGGCAUCGCAAGCGGCGCCCUGAUCUCUGCUGCUAGCAACAACAAAGGGAACAAGAUCGCCAAGGAUGCCAUCACCGGAGGUGCCAUCGCAACCGCCAUCGAGUUCAUCAACUACCUCACCUAG
This 435-nucleotide ribosomal RNA is filed under the name Triticum aestivum (bread wheat). RNAcentral describes it as "partial small subunit ribosomal RNA". The record is from RNAcentral. Lineage: Eukaryota; Viridiplantae; Streptophyta; Magnoliopsida; Poales; Poaceae.